This is a long non-coding RNA of Cydia splendana, 1092 nucleotides long. RefSeq lists it as uncharacterized. The transcript has 3 exons. The record is from RefSeq and is a predicted model, not a curated record. Lineage: Eukaryota; Metazoa; Arthropoda; Insecta; Lepidoptera; Tortricidae.
UAUACAAAUUGACUUACAUUAUAACAUGCACGGAUAAUCGUGUUUUCUCAACUGACAAUUCACUUGACAUUGACAAGCAUCGCGUACGCGCAUGAUUCAGUGAAUUUAGUGAACAUACAAACUAAGUCGAAGAAAAAUACUGAUUUGCUGUGUGAACUAAAGGAAAUGCCACCCAAAAUGUAAGUUUCUCUAAUUUAUUUAUAGAAAAAGUUAUAGUUCGUUUGAUCAUUAACUGGUUUUGUCAUGAAUAUGUUUAAUUUCAGACGAUGCUUCGGCGCACAAGAAAAUGCUAGCCAAAUAUAUAUAACUCAGCAUCCCCUGUUCGCCUACACCUACAGGGAGAUCCAUGAGCCUCUCGGAAGCCAGAGAUACAAAAUGCAAUGCUUCACAUUGCACAUAACUUCUAAGAUCCAGAAGAAAGGAUUGAAGAUGGUCCGUCGGGCCUGGGCAUUAUGAUCAUCGAGGGGCGGCACACGGAAGCCGGCCGAGGAAUCUUCGUCUCCGACUUACAAGAAGGCAGCGCUGCCGAACAGUCAUGACAUAUUGGAGGCUUGAAAGUGCACAUACCCAUACAUUGGACGUUAAGCUCAACGAGACCAUGCGAUGCAUCUCAGGCACUAUCCGAUCUACAACCGCCACUGGCUGCCGGCAUUGAGUCACAUUGCCCCUCCUCACAUCCGACGACUCAAGGCGUUGAAGAGGGAGGCUGAGAAUAUCACGAAUAACCCCACCCUGACCCUGUGCUACAGCUGGGAGCCUGAGCAGCUUUAAUAUUUCGGAUAGGUGGAUAGCGGAAUGGUCAGCUUCGGCAGCUCGGAGUUGCUGUAUAUCUGACCCAACUAAAAAACCAAAAGGGUUUGACCUUCCUCGGAAAAUCUGGUGCCGCCUGAGAACCGGACACUCAUACCCUGGGCCUGUUGAGGACCUGAAGACCGUGACACCUGACUUGGUUGCUUAGCUUGGCAACCUCAAGGCUACACUCUGAAUGCCACUUUAUUGGAGCAUUCCACGAGCUGUCCCGUACAAACGCAUUUUAUUUCCUGUGUUGCGACUUUUUUUUUUCGCCAUUUAAAGCAAGCGAAUAAUUUUCCG